RNAcentral lists this transfer RNA (73 nucleotides) under Haematococcus lacustris. RNAcentral describes it as "Haematococcus pluvialis tRNA". It matches the Rfam family "tRNA". From Rfam's summary of the family: Transfer RNA (tRNA) molecules are approximately 80 nucleotides in length. Their secondary structure includes four short double-helical elements and three loops (D, anti-codon, and T loops). Lineage: Eukaryota; Viridiplantae; Chlorophyta; Chlorophyceae; Chlamydomonadales; Haematococcaceae. The record is from Rfam by way of RNAcentral.
GGCCGUGUAGCUCAAUGGAUAGAGCGCGGGUCUACGGAACCCGAGGUCGCAGRUUCGACCCCUGCCAUGGUCA